Molecule: ribosomal RNA, 254 nt
Filed under: uncultured bacterium
Lineage: Bacteria
Description: partial 16S ribosomal RNA
Rfam family: Bacterial small subunit ribosomal RNA
Source: RNAcentral
UACGUAGGGUGCAAGCGUUAAUCGGAAUUACUGGGCGUAAAGCGUGCGCAGGCGGCUUUGCAAGACAGAUGUGAAAUCCCCGGGCUUAACCUGGGAACUGCAUUUGUGACUGCAUGGCUGGAGUGCGGCAGAGGGGGAUGGAAUUCCGCGUGUAGCAGUGAAAUGCGUAGAUAUCUGGAGGAACACCGGUGGCGAAGGCGACAUCCUGGACCGGUAUUGACGCUGAGGCGCGAAAGCCAGGGGAGCAAAGCGGG